RNAcentral lists this ribosomal RNA (497 nucleotides) under uncultured bacterium. RNAcentral describes it as "partial 16S ribosomal RNA". It matches the Rfam family "Bacterial small subunit ribosomal RNA", at positions 28 to 507 of the family's 1533-position model. The record is from RNAcentral.
GAUGAACGCUGGCGGCGUGCCUAAUACAUGCAAGUCGAGCGAACACACGAGGAGCUUGCUCCUCUGACGUUAGCGGCGGACGGGUGAGUAACACGUGGAUAACCUACCUAUAAGACUGGGAUAACUUCGGGAAACCGGAGCUAAUACCGGAUAAUAUAUUGAACCGCAUGGUUCAAUAGUGAAAGACGGUUUUGCUGUCACUUAUAGAUGGAUCCGCGCCGCAUUAGCUAGUUGGUAAGGUAACGGCUUACCAAGGCAACGAUGCGUAGCCGACCUGAGAGGGUGAUCGGCCACACUGGAACUGAGACACGGUCCAGACUCCUACGGGAGGCAGCAGUAGGGAAUCUUCCGCAAUGGGCGAAAGCCUGACGGAGCAACGCCGCGUGAGUGAUGAAGAUCUUCGGAUCGUAAAACUCUGUUAUUAGGGAAGAACAAAUGUGUAAGUAACUAUGCACGUCUUGACGGUACCUAAUCAGAAAGCCACGGCUAACUACGUG